AACCCAGUUAGAUCACUGGUUCUGGUUCAGCCUCCAGCAAACCUGUCAGGGUGGGAAGACAGCAGGGUGUACUUACUUUCUUCAUUUUCUCUAUCUUCUCUAAAUAAUGCCAGUCUGGAUCAGCUGGGUGUACGGGGUGUACAUACAUUUCACCUGGGGUGGGUCGGUCGGUCAGUCGGUCAGUUGGUCGGUCAGUCGGUAGAUCAGUCACUUGGUCAGUCGGUCGGUCAGUUGGUCUGGCGGUUGGUCUUUCAGUCGGUCGGUCAGUCAGUUGGUCGGUCAGUCGGUUGGUUGGUUGGUCUGGCGGUAGGUCAGUAGGUCAGUCACUUGGUCAGUCGGUCGGUCUUUCGGUCGGUUGGUUGGUCUGGCGAUCAGUCAGUCGGUAGGUCAGUCACUUGGUCGGUCAGUCGGUCGGUCUUUCGGUCAGUUGGUUGGUUGGUCUGGCGGUCGGUCAGUCACUUGGUCAGUCGGUCAGUAAGUUGGUCAGUUGGUCGGUCAGUCGGUUGGUUGGUCUGGCGGUCAGUCAGUCGGUAGGUCAGUCAGUCGGUCGGCCAGUCACUUGGUCGGUCGGUUGGUCUUUCAGUCGGUCAUUCUGGCGGUCAAUCAGUUGAUUGGUUGUCCAGCUCAACGUGUCUUUGAGUUAAAAGAUGUUUAAAGUUUAAAAUACGGCUAAAAGACAUUAUUAACAAAACCUAAACAGAAAAUUUAAAGUUUCUUAAGAAAGGGAAAAAAAUACAGUUAAAAUAAAUAUUUAUUCUCUUCAGUUGUUUCAUCCUAAUUAAAGUGUCCAAAUAUUUUGAUCCAUUAUUGACUUUAUUAGCUGAAGUUGUUAACAUGUUGUUAGCAUGAUCAGGAAGUGGAUAGAGUUCAGGUGAAUGACCUCUGACCCCAGGCUGUGUUCACAUACUGACAUUUUCCUGUUGCUGUUUCUGGAUAAAAUCUGAACGAAUCUCAGCCUGGAGGAGCAACUGGAGGCUGGCAGCCCGCCAGGCUGAUGAAGGCCUGGAGAACCUCCCAGCUGCUGUUUCUCAACCUCUGGGCCGGUUUCCAGAGGGAAGACAGACGUCCUCACAGCAGGACGGUCGUCCGGGCGUCCUGGACUUACGCAAGACAAGUGAUGGACAGACGGAGACCUCCUGACCCCUGAGUGACCUCUAACCCGGCCCUGAUGUUCUGCAGCGGGUCGGUGCGAUGUAUCCAAAGACCAGAAACAGCUCAGAAAGACUUUAAGUGUCCAACUCGUCACUGUGAACCACAGCAUCAACUCAGGACUUUGACUAGGCCGUUGUGCUCUGCAGUCGUUUAUUAGUGAAAAACAUUUCAGCAACAAGACAGUUCAACGUUCCACAGAAACAUCAUUAAGUCGCCAAUUAUGAAACAAUAAACGUCACGUUUUGUCUCAUCAAAUACAAAAAGAGGAGACAAAACUGGUUCUGGAACCAGAACCAGAACCUGAGAGGUCUGAAGGUUGAUCCAGCAGAUCUUUAAUGAAAACAUGAUGAGUUUCUCUGAUCUGAGACUUUAGUCUCUGGUCCUGGAAAUGUUCUGCAGCUGCUAGAAGGCCCACUGUGGAACCCAAGGCUCAGGUCAGAGGUCAGAGGUCAGCCUCUGGUUUACAGCUGGAACAACUGAAGCUGACUCUAGAUCUAUAGCUCUAGAUUGUUCCU
This is a long non-coding RNA of Xiphophorus hellerii (green swordtail), 1667 nucleotides long. RefSeq lists it as uncharacterized. The record is from RefSeq and is a predicted model, not a curated record. NCBI's taxonomy places the organism in Eukaryota, Metazoa, Chordata, Actinopteri, Cyprinodontiformes, Poeciliidae. The transcript has 3 exons.